AUGCAUCAUAGGCAAAGCGAUCUACUGGCUUUGGAUCAAAUUCGAUCCUCAGUUCUGCCACUAAGGCCAAGGGACGCUGGAGAAAUCCUCCUUCUCCCCCUACUAUACAUGAUUUUGGUAAAAGCAGGAAAUAAGGCGAGUUCACAGAUCUUAACGACUGCAGGGAAUAUUUUAACAAGCCCACCAGUGGGAAAUCCUCCCCUGCAGGGCCUCAUCAAAGGAACAAGCCCUGCAAGGGAUCCAAGGAACCAAGGAUCCUCCUGCAGGGGACAUGUAGCACCUGGCACAGGAACCACCUUCAGAACUAUCUGCGAGCAGAGGGCUGGGCAGUGCUGCUGCCCUGAGGAGGGGAGGCAGCGAGGGCAGCGAGCCCCAUUCCCAGCAGUGGGGGCAGCCUGCAGGGCCCGGAUCACGCCACUCACCUGCCUGGUGCUGCGGGGCCACCUCCCACGCUGGGAACCACAGCAGCCUUGAACUCCAGGUAGGUUCUUAUGGAGAAAAAAUGAAACAUUUUAAAGCAGCAGAACAGCAGCAACGCCCCCCACCUCCCAUUCCCCUCACAGCGAGGCCCCUGGGGCGCCCCUCCGGGCCCCGCGCUCCCCCUCAGGCCGUGUAUUUCCCCCUUAUGUUGCCGGGCAGCUACGGAGGCUCCAGCUGCUCGGCGACCGUCGAGGAAAACGGGUGGCUCUGGGCUCCUUUUUGACUGCAUCUGCCACGGCACCGAGGCAGAGGCAGCUUCGAUAGGGCCGGGCAGGCUUCAGUCUCCCCCCCCCUCACCUCCGGGCCUGGUUUUUACCUCAUCCAGGGGCAGGCCGGCGGCCAUGUCACCCCGCAUCCGCGCCACCCGCCAUCCGAGCGCCCCCAGCCGCCACCGCCCGGUAGCCGAGCCCCCGAGGCACCGAUGCGGCGGGGCAGGGCGGAGGAAAGGCACCGGGAGCGGGCGGAUGGCGGCGGAUGGCGCCCAGGCCGCAGCCCCUAUCCUCCGCCGCCAUCACAGGGAAAGGCCGAGGGCGGGCGGCCGCGCGUCUUUUAUAGGGAGGGAGCGCGGGCGCUGAUUGGCUGCUGCGGCCGGGCGCUGCCGCUGCGCCUGCUGGGAGUUGUAGUCCGCGGAACCUCCCCCCCCCCACCCGCCGCCAUGCCAGGCCCUGCUGCUCCCCCAGCCCAACGUGCCCCAAACCGCCAACAGCCGGGGUGGAAGGGGGAAACCUCACCCCAGCGCUGCAGGAGCUGCGUUUCCAAGCCCUGAUCAUGCACAGGGGGCAAGCUGUGCUGUGCCACCCGCCUCCUACACGAUCCCCUAGCUCCCUGGCACUGCCACACAAAUUUCUGUCUCCUCCACACCUGAGGCGUGUGCCAGGGGCUGCUCGUUGCGAGGUGCAGCAGCCGCUGCAGUUCUCCUGCUCCAUGUUUCUGGAAGGCCAGGGGGCACACCCCACCCUCAGGGAAUGGAAGAAAAGGUUCUUGGAAGCCAGAGCCUAUCUAUCUGCCAAGGCAAUCCCUCUGUCACAUUCCUGGCUCCCGAUCUGUAAUUAGUGGAAAGGGUUUAAAAGGAGAGCACCUACCCGCUGACUGGAAGGGACUGAUGAAGUUUCUGCUGGUACGGAUGCUGAAGGCACGGCCACCAUGAGGAAUCCGGUCGAAAAGCUGGAUCUUAGAGCAAAAGCUUUGUGUCCUGCCCCUGAGCCCUGGAGAAAGCACACACACACAAAAAAAAAAAANAAAAAAAAAAAAAAAAAAGGAUGACAGAGAACAAUAGUUAGUUUUUUAACCUGUUCUGAGCAAAAUCCACAGAUCAGAAGUUCACAUCACCCUUUCAAACCGGUAACCCCUCACCACAAACAUGCCAGAUUACUGGCAAAAUAAGCCUGGCACCCAUUUAAAGCAGAGGUCUGGAAAUGGGCCCCAAACCUUCCAUGAGCAAGCUCUUCUAAAAACAGUUCUUGUCAAAGCUGCUGGGACAGGGCACGAGCAGGUGGCCCCAGACACCACAGCCCCUGCAGCUGUUCUGCUAAGUCACAAGGCAUUCCCUGGGGGCCCAAAU
This 2041-nucleotide long non-coding RNA is filed under the name Anas zonorhyncha (Eastern spot-billed duck). RNAcentral describes it as "lncRNA (ENSAZOG00000009707.1)". Lineage: Eukaryota; Metazoa; Chordata; Aves; Anseriformes; Anatidae. The record is from RNAcentral.